RNAcentral lists this ribosomal RNA (253 nucleotides) under uncultured bacterium. RNAcentral's name for it is "partial 16S ribosomal RNA". It matches the Rfam family "Bacterial small subunit ribosomal RNA", at positions 524 to 776 of the family's 1533-position model. The record is from RNAcentral.
UACAGAGGUCUCAAGCGUUGUUCGGAUUCAUUGGGCGUAAAGGGUGCGUAGGCGGCGCGGUAAGUCGGGUGUGAAAUCUUGGAGCUUAACUCCGAAACUGCAUUCGAUACUGCCGUGCUUGAGGACUGGAGAGGAGACUGGAAUUUACGGUGUAGCGGUGAAAUGCGUAGAUAUCGGAAGGAACACCAGUGGCGAAAGCGGCUUCCUGGUCCAGCACCGACGUUCAGGCACGAAAGCGUGGGGAGCAAACAGG